Lepus europaeus (European hare) is the source of this 185-nucleotide small nuclear RNA. RefSeq annotates it as U2 spliceosomal RNA. The record is from RefSeq and is a predicted model, not a curated record. The transcript has a single exon. Lineage: Eukaryota; Metazoa; Chordata; Mammalia; Lagomorpha; Leporidae.
AUCACUUCUUGGCCUUUUGCCUAAGAGCAAGUGUAGCAUCUGUUCUUAGUUUGGUAAUAUUUAAAAUAGCCAAGGAUUUGAUUUUUGAUGAAUGUUAAACCUUGUUAAAUAUUGAGUCAUACGGAAUUUAAGCUUAUGACUGCCCGGAAUAUAAAUCUAGACUCCCGAUCACUCUGGCAUCUUGC